This 79-nucleotide transfer RNA is filed under the name Anguilla anguilla (European eel). RNAcentral describes it as "tRNA-OTHER". The record is from RNAcentral. Lineage: Eukaryota; Metazoa; Chordata; Actinopteri; Anguilliformes; Anguillidae.
GGCAGUGUAGUAUAAUGGGUAAGGAGUUGGGCUUGUAACCUAAAGGUCGCAGGUUCGAGUCCCUGCUGGGACUGUGUCA